Molecule: ribosomal RNA, 403 nt
Filed under: uncultured bacterium
Lineage: Bacteria
Description: partial 16S ribosomal RNA
Rfam family: Bacterial small subunit ribosomal RNA
Source: RNAcentral
AUUGAACGCUGGCGGCAGGCCUAACACAUGCAAGUCGAGCGAGGGGCGGACGGGUGAGUCAUGUAUGGGGACUGCCCGUUAGAGGGGGAUAACUACAGGAAACGGUGGCUAAUACCGCAUACUUCCGGAUAACCCAUAUGGGAUUAGCUAGUAGGUAAGGUAAUGGCUGACCUAGGCGACGAUCCCUAGCUGGGCUGAGAGGAUGAUCAGCCACACUGGGACUGAGACACGGCCCAGACUCCUACGGAGGCAGCAGUGGGGAAUAUUGCACAAUGGGCGAAAGCCUGAUGCAGCCAUGCCGCGUGUGUGAAGAAGGCCCUAGGGUUGUAAAGUACUUUCAGUCGGGAGGCGUUACCGACAGAAGAAGCACCGGCUAACUACGUGCCAGCAGCCGCGGUAAUUC